UACAGAGGUCUCAAGCGUUGUUCGGAUUCAUUGGGCGUAAAGGGUGCGUAGGUGGCGCCGUAAGUCGGGUGUGAAAUCUCGGAGCUUAACUCCGAAACUGCAUUCGAUACUGCGGUGCUUGAGGACUGGAGAGGAGACUGGAAUUCAUGGUGUAGCAGUGAAAUGCGUAGAGAUCAUGAGGAAGACCAGUGGCGAAGGCGGGUCUCUGGACAGUUCCUGACGCUGAGGCACGAAGGCCAGGGGAGCAAACGGG
RNAcentral lists this ribosomal RNA (253 nucleotides) under uncultured bacterium. Its description in RNAcentral is "partial 16S ribosomal RNA". It matches the Rfam family "Bacterial small subunit ribosomal RNA", at positions 524 to 776 of the family's 1533-position model. The record is from RNAcentral.